CCUACGGGAGGCAGCAGUGGGGAAUAUUGGGCAAUGGAGGAAACUCUGACCCAGCGACGCCGCGUGCGGGAUGAAGGCCUUCGGGUUGUAAACCGCUUUCAGUAGGGAAGAAGCGAAAGUGACGGUACCUACAGAAGAAGCACCGGCUAACUAUGUGCCAGCAGCCGCGGUAAUACAUAGGGUGCAAGCGUUGUCCGGAAUUAUUGGGCGUAAAGAGCUCGUAGGUGGUUCGUCACGUCGGAUGUGAAAAUCUGGGGCUCAACCCCAGACCUGCAUUCGAUACGGGCGAUCUAGAGUGUGGUAGGGGAGACUGGAAUUCCUGGUGUAGCGGUGGAAUGCGCAGAUAUCAGGAGGAACACCAAUGGCGAAGGCAGGUCUCUGGGCCAUUACUGACACUGAGGAGCGAAAGCGUGGGGAGCGAACAGGAUUAGAUACCCUGGUAGUCCACGCCGUAAACGGUGGGCACUAGUUGUGGGAACCUUCCACGGUUUCUGCGACGCAGCUAACGCAUUAAGUGCCCCGCCUGGGGAGUACGAUCGCAAGAUUAAAACUUAAAGGAAAUUGACGG
This 568-nucleotide ribosomal RNA is filed under the name uncultured bacterium. Its description in RNAcentral is "bacterial SSU rRNA". It matches the Rfam family "Bacterial small subunit ribosomal RNA", at positions 338 to 916 of the family's 1533-position model. The record is from RNAcentral.